Molecule: ribosomal RNA, 1750 nt
Filed under: Paramecium nephridiatum
Lineage: Eukaryota; Ciliophora; Oligohymenophorea; Peniculida; Parameciidae
Description: SSU rRNA
Rfam family: Eukaryotic small subunit ribosomal RNA
Source: RNAcentral
AACCUGGUUGAUCCUGCCAGUAGUCAUAUGCUUGUCUUAAAGAUUAAGCCAUGCAUGUCUAAGUAUAAAUAGUAUACAGUGAAACUGCGAAUGGCUCAUUAAAACAGUUAUAGUUUAUUUGAUAGUGCACAUUACAUGGAUAACCGUGGUAAUUCUAGAGCUAAUACAUGCGCAAAUACCUGACUCACGAAAGGUAGCAUUUAUUAGAUUUAACCAUCAUAUGGUGAAUCAUAGUAACUUGGCGGACCGCGCUCCGGCGUGGUAAAUCAUUCAAGUUUCUGCCCUAUCAGCUUUCGAUGGUAGUGUAUUGGACUACCAUGGCAGUCACGGGUAACGGAGAAUUAGGGUUCGAUUCCGGAGAGGGAGCCUGAGAAACGGCUACCACAUCUAAGGAAGGCAGCAGGCGCGUAAAUUACCCAAUCCCAAUUCGGGGAGGUAGUGACAAGAAAUAACAACCUGAGUGGUUCGCCACUUCGGGAUUGCAAUGAGAUAAGUCUAAAUCCGUAAGCGAUUACCAAUUGGAGGGCAAGUCUGGUGCCAGCAGCCGCGGUAAUUCCAGCUCCAAUAGCGUAUACUUAAGUUGUUGCAGUUAAAAAGCUCGUAGUUGAAAAUCGAAUCAGCUUCAUUAUGGCUUCGGUCAUACUUGUUAGCUGGUUCUCCGUCUACAAACCUUUUUGCUCUUUUACGAGUGCAGCUUGGAGAGUAGACAAUUUACCUUGAAAAAAUUAGAGUGUUCCAGGCAGGUCUUCGCCGGAAUACAUUAGCAUGGAAUAAUGGAAUAGGACUAUGGUCUUUUGUUGGUUUUAGGGCCAGUGUAAUGAUUAAUAGGGACAGAUGGGGGCAUUAGUAUUUAAUUGUCAGAGGUGAAAUUCUUGGAUUUAUUAAAGACUAACUUAUGCGAAAGCAUUUGCCAAGGAUGUUUUCAUUAAUCAAGAACGAAAGUUAGGGGAUCAAAGACGAUCAGAUACCGUCGUAGUCUUAACUAUAAACUAUACCGACUCGAGAUCGGAAGGUGCUCAAUAAGGCCCUUUCGGCAUCGUAAGAGAAAUCAAAGUCUUUGGGUUCUGGGGGGAGUAUGGUCGCAAGGCUGAAACUUAAAGGAAUUGACGGAAGGGCACCACCAGGAGUGGAGCCUGCGGCUUAAUUUGACUCAACACGGGGAAACUUACCAGGUCAAAACAUGGAUGGGAUUGACAGAUUGAAAGCUCUUUCUUGAUUCUAUGGGUGGCGGUGCAUGGCCGUUCUUAGUUGGUGGAGUGAUUUGUCUGGUUAAUUCCGAUAACGAACGAGACCUUAACCUGCUAACUAGUUUGUACCUAAAAAAGGUAUAUAUCUUCUUAGAGGGACUAUGUAUGUUAAAUGCAUGGAAGUUUAAGGCAAUAACAGGUCUGUGAUGCCCCUAGAUGUCCUGGGCCGCACGCGCGCUACACUGACACGUUCAGCGAGUUUAAUCUCCUAUCUCGAAAGGGUAUGGGAAAUCUUGUUAGGACGUGUCGUGCUGGGGAUAGAUCUUUGCAAUUAUAGAUCUUGAACGAGGAAUUCCUUGUAAGCACAGGUCAUCAGCCUGUGCUGAAUACGUCCCUGCCCUUUGUACACACCGCCCGUCGCUCCUACCGAUUUCGAGUGAUGUGGUGAACUAUCUGGACUGUGGACGGGCUUGAACCGUUCGCGGGAAGUUUCGUAAACCUUAUCACUUAGAGGAAGGAGAAGUCGUAACAAGGUUUCCGUAGGUGAACCUGCAGAAGGAUCA